RNAcentral lists this ribosomal RNA (253 nucleotides) under uncultured bacterium. Its description in RNAcentral is "partial 16S ribosomal RNA". It matches the Rfam family "Bacterial small subunit ribosomal RNA", at positions 524 to 776 of the family's 1533-position model. The record is from RNAcentral.
UACAGAGGUCUCGAGCGUUAGGCGGAAUCACUGGGCUUAAAGCGUGUGUAGGCGGAUUGCUAAGUACCUUGUGAAAUCCCACGGCUUAACCGUGGAACUGCUUGGUAUACUGGCUGUCUUGAGCCACUUAGGGGCAACCGGAACAAACGGUGGAGCGGUGAAAUGCGUAGAUAUCGUUUGGAACGCCAAUGGUGAAGACAGGUUGCUGGGAGUGUGCUGACGCUGAGACACGAAAGCCAGGGGAGCAAACGGG